GGAUAAUCCAAAUAGCUCAACGCAUGCGUCGUAAUUUCAGGAACAAGCUGCUCCAUCAUCGACGCCCCUGUCAGUUUCUCCGCAGCCACUGUCACAGACACUUUCUCAACCAUUUCUUCCUCAAAACCACCAAAAACACUACUACCACUACUCCCUCCGUUCAAAACCGAAGUCUUAUCAAAACGUCCUCCUCCACAACUACCAUGCGAACAAGCACAGUUGCAGGAAUCCUCUCCGCCCUUCGUCCGCACCGAUUUUGAUCGGUGAGUCAAACAAGCGGCAGCGACGGCGAAAAAACAACAGAUUAACGUGACGGCGCCGGAGAAAAAACUAAUAUCCAUUCAUAAGUCAUGAAAAACUCGUCGUCGACGUUCAUAAAAGACCGAUUAGGGUUUCGGAGAAUUCAAUUUUGAAACCCUAUUUGUAUUACUGGAGUUCUAAAAAU
Molecule: unclassified non-coding RNA, 445 nt
Filed under: Hevea brasiliensis (rubber tree)
Lineage: Eukaryota; Viridiplantae; Streptophyta; Magnoliopsida; Malpighiales; Euphorbiaceae
Source: RNAcentral